This 497-nucleotide ribosomal RNA is filed under the name uncultured bacterium. RNAcentral's name for it is "partial 16S ribosomal RNA". It matches the Rfam family "Bacterial small subunit ribosomal RNA", at positions 28 to 507 of the family's 1533-position model. The record is from RNAcentral.
GAUGAACGCUGGCGGCGUGCCUAAUACAUGCAAGUCGAGCGAACGGACGAGAAGCUUGCUUCUCUGAUGUUAGCGGCGGACGGGUGAGUAACACGUGGAUAACCUACCUAUAAGACUGGGAUAACUUCGGGAAACCGUAGCUAAUACCGGAUAAUAUUUUGAACCGCAUGGUUCAAAAGUGAAAGACGGUCUUGCUGUCACUUAUAGAUGGAUCCGCGCUGCAUUAGCUAGUUGGUAAGGUAACGGCUUACCAAGGCAACGAUGCAUAGCCGACCUGAGAGGGUGAUCGGCCACACUGGAACUGAGACUCGGUCCAGACUCCUACGGGAGGCAGCAGUAGGGAAUCUUCCGCAAUGGGCGAAAGCCUGACGGAGCAACGCCGCGUGAGUGAUGAAGGUCUUCGGAUCGUAAAACUCUGUUAUUAGGGAAGAACAUAUGUGUAAGUAACUGUGCACAUCUUGACGGUACCUAAUCAGAAGGCCACGGCUAACUACGUG